Molecule: ribosomal RNA, 1252 nt
Filed under: Staphylococcus aureus
Lineage: Bacteria; Bacillati; Bacillota; Bacilli; Caryophanales; Staphylococcaceae
Description: partial 23S ribosomal RNA
Rfam family: Bacterial large subunit ribosomal RNA
Source: RNAcentral
UCUAUACGGAGUUACAAAGGACGACAUUAGACGAAUCAUCUGGAAAGAUGAAUCAAAGAAGGUAAUAAUCCUGUAGUCGAAAAUGUUGUCUCUCUUGAGUGGAUCCUGAGUACGACGGAGCACGUGAAAUUCCGUCGGAAUCUGGGAGGACCAUCUCCUAAGGCUAAAUACUCUCUAGUGACCGAUAGUGAACCAGUACCGUGAGGGAAAGGUGAAAAGCACCCCGGAAGGGGAGUGAAAUAGAACCUGAAACCGUGUGCUUACAAGUAGUCAGAGCCCGUUAAUGGGUGAUGGCGUGCCUUUUGUAGAAUGAACCGGCGAGUUACGAUUUGAUGCAAGGUUAAGCAGUAAAUGUGGAGCCGUAGCGAAAGCGAGUCUGAAUAGGGCGUUUAGUAUUUGGUCGUAGACCCGAAACCAGGUGAUCUACCCUUGGUCAGGUUGAAGUUCAGGUAACACUGAAUGGAGGACCGAACCGACUUACGUUGAAAAGUGAGCGGAUGAACUGAGGGUAGCGGAGAAAUUCCAAUCGAACCUGGAGAUAGCUGGUUCUCUCCGAAAUAGCUUUAGGGCUAGCCUCAAGUGAUGAUUAUUGGAGGUAGAGCACUGUUUGGACGAGGGGCCCCUCUCGGGUUACCGAAUUCAGACAAACUCCGAAUGCCAAUUAAUUUAACUUGGGAGUCAGAACAUGGGUGAUAAGGUCCGUGUUCGAAAGGGAAACAGCCCAGACCACCAGCUAAGGUCCCAAAAUAUAUGUUAAGUGGAAAAGGAUGUGGCGUUGCCCAGACAACUAGGAUGUUGGCUUAGAAGCAGCCAUCAUUUAAAGAGUGCGUAAUAGCUCACUAGUCGAGUGACACUGCGCCGAAAAUGUACCGGGGCUAAACAUAUUACCGAAGCUGUGGAUUGUCCUUUGGACAAUGGUAGGAGAGCGUUCUAAGGGCGUUGAAGCAUGAUCGUAAGGACAUGUGGAGCGCUUAGAAGUGAGAAUGCCGGUGUGAGUAGCGAAAGACGGGUGAGAAUCCCGUCCACCGAUUGACUAAGGUUUCCAGAGGAAGGCUCGUCCGCUCUGGGUUAGUCGGGUCCUAAGCUGAGGCCGACAGGCGUAGGCGAUGGAUAACAGGUUGAUAUUCCUGUACCACCUAUAAUCGUUUUAAUCGAUGGGGGGACGCAGUAGGAUAGGCGAAGCGUGCGAUUGGAUUGCACGUCUAAGCAGUAAGGCUGAGUAUUAGGCAAAUCCGGUACUCGUUAAGGCUGA